AUUUGAUGGGCUGAAGUAAAAGGAUUUAUUAUGCAUUUAUUUCUUUUUGAGGGCUGGAAUACAGUAUUGUUAGAUGCCUUGAACUCUAUUCAUAGCGGAGAAGGAGGAUGCCAGUCAUCUCUACAAAUAAAACAACAGAAAAAACUGGAUGUUUGCAAAAAUAUGCGCAUUUCCUGUGUCUGAAAGUUGAGAUCUAGGACUGCAGCUCUAAUAUUGGUUACCACAAAUUCAUAUGGAUGGAAGAAGGGAACAAACUGAAAUCAAGACAUCAUUAUUCUUCCCUUUCCUCUGAUGGAUGAUAGGCACUGCUCAAUGCAUCCUGAUCUAGUGUCUACAACACUAGUUUUUCCCCAAACUAUACAAGUGAUAUUUGCUGGAAUAUUCAUUAUAGUUAAGAGACAAGAAGUGUUUCAUCUACUUCUGUAUAUUUCCUGAGAUGGUACAUGUGAGAGUACUGAAUUAAAUGUUUAUAAGACAAUUUGAACU
RNAcentral lists this long non-coding RNA (486 nucleotides) under Pogona vitticeps (central bearded dragon). Its description in RNAcentral is "lncRNA (ENSPVIG00000006298.1)". The record is from RNAcentral. Lineage: Eukaryota; Metazoa; Chordata; Lepidosauria; Squamata; Agamidae.